RNAcentral lists this ribosomal RNA (509 nucleotides) under uncultured bacterium. RNAcentral describes it as "bacterial SSU rRNA". It matches the Rfam family "Bacterial small subunit ribosomal RNA", at positions 8 to 526 of the family's 1533-position model. The record is from RNAcentral.
AGGGUUCGAUCCUGGCUCAGGACGAACGCUGGCGGUGCGCCUUAUGCAUGCAAGUCGAGCGAAGCUUUUCAGUAGUUUACUACAGAAAAUGACUGAGCGGCGAACGGGUGAGUAACGCGUGAGCAAUCUACCUUAGUUACAGGGAUAGCCCGAGGAAACUCGGAUUAAUACCUGAUAUUCUUUACAUUUCGCAUGAAAUCAAAAGGAAAGGUCAGCCGAACUAAGAUGAGCUCGCGUUCUAUCAGCUAGUUGGUGAGGUAAAAGCUCACCAAGGCAACGACGGAUAGCUGGUCUGAGAGGACGAUCAGCCACACUGGGACUGAGACACGGCCCAGACUCCUACGGGAGGCUGCAGCAGGGAAUAUUGCGCAAUGAGCGAAAGCUUGACGCAGCGACACCGCGUGUGGGAUGACGGAUCUAGGUUUGUAAACCACUUUCAGGAGGGAAGAAAAUGACGGUACCUCCACAAGAAGCCCCGGCCAACUACGUGCCAGCAGCCGCGGUAAUUC